Long non-coding RNA from Felis catus (domestic cat), 8136 nucleotides. RefSeq lists it as uncharacterized. NCBI's taxonomy places the organism in Eukaryota, Metazoa, Chordata, Mammalia, Carnivora, Felidae. The transcript is spliced from 8 exons. The record is from RefSeq and is a predicted model, not a curated record.
CUCGAACACGGACCACAAGAUCAUGACCUGAGCUGAAGUUGGACGCUUAACCAACUGAGUCACCCAGGUGCCCCAAAACUACACAACCUUCCGAUAAAAGUAUUAGUUUUCCUUCUCUCCUUUAUUCUUUAUGAUCUACUCACAUAGGUACUAAGGAUUGUUUAUUUUUAUUUUUAACAAAAUUGACUGAAGGUCUACUAUAUACCAAUAUUUUGAAUUCAAAGUGUACUCUUUGGGGAAAUGAAGCUACGUAGUGAAUUACUGCUUUACGACUUCAGGAACUGGGAUAAUCCUUGAGACAUAGUAGAGGCUUAAUCUUUGUGAAUACUUGAAUAUACUAAACAAAUUAGACCACGUGGUAUAUGUAGGCAACUUGGAGGAGCUUGUAUAGAUUCUAUUUCAUUUUUAGGAAGAAAAAUGAACUGGCUUCAGAAAAUAAUGGAGAGACCAUCCUCUGGUCAUUUGCUUUCUCUGACACAUUUCAGUGGGAGGAUCCUCACAGGAAAGAGCCUUUAGGCCCCACUGUGGGAUCUCCCAAACUGUCACUUUUGAAAGACUGUCUCUAAGUCAUAUUGAAGUUAACUUAUUGGUUUUUUUUUUUCCAGAGAAAAAAUUAACUAAAAUUGUCAUUCAAAGUUAUGUUUUCUAUUAUAUGAAAAGUGGUUGUCAAUGAGGCACUCAAGGUCAGGGUUGGUAGCUGGCUUUAUCUUCCUUUAAAAAUGAAUUUAAUGACUUCAUUAAAAUCUAGGGAUAUAUAAAAGGCAGCAAUACUAUCACUAAGUUAACAGAGAUUUACUUAUCAGACUUUCAAACAAGGAAUUCAUCAAGCUACAAAUUCUUUCCAAGGAACAGAACUGUAUUCAAAGAACAUGUGGCUCAUAUCUCCUGUCAUGCCCUUGAUGACAAUUCUGAUGUUGUAAAUGUAUUCUAGUGUACCCCUAAGUGAAGGCUGCUUCUUGUCUCAGCUAGCUCAAGCUACAGAAAUCGACCAGGAAAAGACAGACUUAAGGAUUUCCUCUUUUUUUAGGGAGCCAGUAUGCCCAGAGCAUCCUGGCUUGUCUAUUCUGAAUCAGGUUUCUAUAUUCCCAAGUUAACCUAUCUAGAUGUCCUUACGGCUGUUUAUCCUUCUAGGUGUCCUUAAGGCUGAGAACUGGCCUUUGAGUAGAGUCAGCUCCCAACGUGGCUCAAGACUCAAGGCGAUUCAAGAGGAAAAAAAACAGAGACAAGUAUAAGAGACAGUGACUAAGACUUUGACAGAUAGCCGCUGAAGGAAAAGCAACACACACACACACACACACACACACACACACACACACCAUUUAUGAAGAGAUUGAGACAUACUGUGGCAGUGACUUAUUCAUCUUUGAUAAAGAGCUAAGUUCUUUAAAGAAAAAUGGCAUAAUUAGAGUAAAACUAUUUUGACUCCAAGAAUCGAUGGUUCUGUCAAAUUGGCCUUCUUUUUGACAUACUUGUCUUUACCUCAAGACCUUUGCACCAACUAUUCUGCUACUUGAAAUGCUCUCCCUCUAUUUUCACAUGACUGACUUCUUGUCAUCAUUUGUAAUUUUCAACUUAAAUAUCAACUUCCUCAGAGAGGCUUUUCCCGACCACAGUAAAGAAGGCAACUCAUUACUCACCUGACAUGACUCUAUUUUAAUUCUUUGCAUUGCAUUGUACUCACCAAUAGCUAAUAUUUUUUAUUGUUUACGUUAAAAUUUUUUUUUUCUCUUCUCCAUUACCUUGGCAUAGCAUAAGAUCCUAUGAGUAUAGGUUCUUGCUUGUUCUCUUUCUAUCCCUCGGUUGCCGCAUAAUAGAUAUCCAAUGAAUGAAUAUUCACACAGUGGAUGAUGACUUUUUUUAUCGUUAAAAAGUUGCUUGGAUUUUAACUUAUGUUUAAUAAAGACUUGUUUAACUGCAUUUGAAGAUUAGUAAUAGUGGGAGGAAUUCCAAUAAAACUCUUUAACUCUCACAAUUUUCUUUCGCACUUCCCUUCCAUUUGCCAUUUUGGCGUGAAAAGGCCUUGAUUUUUUGUCUUAGCUAUUUAAAAAAAAUCAAAAUUAUUCACACAAGUUUUAGUGAGUUUUAGCAUUGUAUUGAAGUUUGAUUUAAAGGCUGACAUGAUUUCUGCAUAUUUCACAAUUGAUUAAGCCACCAACCAGAGAUACAUGGAAGGGUCAGGUUUCUAAGAUUCCUUUUUGAUGUGUCUAGGCUUUUAGAUGAGGGAUAUCAUGUUCAGAUUAAAAAUGUCAUGGCAUUACUUUUAUUUUGUCAUGUUGUAUAUUGCUUUUCUCAUUAGUGUUGUCACUGGUGGUGUUUACCUUUGUUGAAUAACCAAUGACAGAGACGUGCUGCUAAAAUGUAAUACAGAGCUUAGUUAUCGUGGUUUUGUGAUGAUAAACAGGAUCAAUAAUAACCAACCAAGUUAUCCUCAUAUUAAGCUGAAUUAUAAUUGUUAAAUAUUUUUUAAUUUGUUUUGCAAAUCUAGCAAUCUUCUAAAAUAACCUCAGUUGGACAAUCUUCUAUUCACAUCAGGAGUAUGUUGUGACACCUGAUUCCAAAAAGUAUUGAGUAAUUUACUUAAAUAUGCUGACAACAAAUCUGCACCAAUUGAUGAAAACAUUUGGUGCAGAUGAAAGCCCAGGAAAUGAAAGGAGCAUAUUUGGGUAACUAUAACACAUUCCACGAUCAGACCUGAAAUUGAGAUUGGCACCUACAAAAAUAUCGCCAUCUCCUUCAUCCACCACACCAGUAUGUUUGAAAAAAUUCUAUCGUCAACCACUAGCUCUCAAGAAACAUACCUCUAAGUCCACUCCCUUUCUGCCUGUAACACACGGUGUGUCUGUGACUCAGUCCUCGUGCUGUGGUUCUUGCUUGAGCGUGAUGGAAAACCAUGUGAGGAGCUCUGUUCCCCACUGCACGCUGGACACCACUGUCCUGCUGGAUUCUGCUGACAUUAAACAAAAUCUUUAGGGUUCAGGAAGGUUGGGCAGACACAUCAGAGGCAAAUGUGUAACACCGUGGAGCAUUUCUGCUUGGCCCGUUGAGUUUGACAUGCCAAAAUAGCCCACAAGGAAUAGCAGUGCCUUUUGAAGUAGCUGAGAUGCUUCCCUGAUGUCACUGCUCUGAGUUUUAGAUCAAUGCCUGGGAGAUGAAUCAGAACAUGUGAAGAGAGUCACUGAGGGGAAAUGUGCUGGAAAGGUUGCAGGAGUGAAGCACCCAAGCCCGGAGAGAAGGUGGGGUGGGGUGAGAUGUGCAAGCAGGAAAAAACAAAGGGCUGAGUCAUUGGAGGCCUAAUUGACAAUGGCACAGCUGUGACAACAAUUUGCCGGCGGCCUGACCUAUUUGAUGAAAGGGUCUCUGCUUUCCUUGGAACCUCAGAGUUGCAGUGCAUGGUAGGAAUGCACCACUCGUGUUUCCAGCUGGCUCAGCCUCAUAAAUACCUAAACUCACAAGAUGACAUUUUUAAUGCUCUACAAUUGCUGUUCUGCGUUUAUAUUUAUUGCAAUUCAACAUAUCCAUUAGUGCAUCUAUCAUUGAUAAGUUUGUCACUGCUUCAGGAAUACAGUCCAUCAUGCUGCAUCAAUUUUACUUUACAUGCUAUUAAUGUACUAUAAUGCAGCUUAUAAUAUCAUGUGGAUAUAUUUGAUUAGAGAGGUGCCAGAGUCAGUCAGAUUGCCCUGAGAAUUGCAAGAGGACCCAAAACCUUUAUUUGUUUGUGGUAAAGAUGAGCAGCCUUGGUGCACAGUGAAUGUGUUAAUAUAACAGGUGUAUCUUCUUCACUUUCUCAAACAGGCACGGCAAGGAACCAAUUUAAGCAAUCUAUUUUGACUCACAACAGACUUAUAAUAUUUUGUUGACACUUGACAUGUUUAUUCUUUUAGCAAAAUCAUAAUCAUGUUUUAAUAUUUCCUGCAUGCAAUUAGCAGCUUUAUUCAAGAGGCAACGAUGGCAUAUGAGUCCAGGAGAGAGGACCAACUAUGGCUUUCCAAAACGAGAUUUCUCCCGUAACAAAAGCUGACUAUGCCUAGCAGAUAUACUAGAAUAAUACGGGGUAUAUCAUUGAAUCCAACGAUGAGUUGAAUCAUGAUGCUGGAAAAGAAGGAAGCAGGAAAGCUCAGAAGCAGAAGUUUGACUGAAAGUCCUGGAAGAGAGAAUCCAGUUGGCAAGACUUAAGUGGAGAGCUGCAGUAUGGUGGUGAGAGCAAAGUUUUGACAGAAGGAGCCAAAACUCCUUCUACCUCUUAGAGGAUCUUUACAUCAGAACUUCAUGUGUUCGUCAAUUGCAACCAUGGGUUGAUUGACUGUCGGUAUGAGAGUUUGGUGAAGAUCAACAAAUGCAUCGUUUGCUCCUGUCUCAGAAGGCUAUGUCUUAACCAAUGAGAAAGGAUAAAUUCGCCCCUGUGGUUGAUAUUUAUGGGAAUGCAAGGUGACAGAAUCUCAAAGACUUCCUGGAGCUGCAGAGGGUGUUGCCAAUCAUCGUGGAAAUUUAAAGUAAAUGCUUUUUCUACAGAUGUUAAUGUCAUUGUUUAUUGACUGUUUACUCAGCUCAGAUGUAAUUGGGGUCAUUAGGGAUCCAGUCAAUACCUGACCUUUUCCGAUAAAGGGUGCACGCUGUGUUACUGGGCCUCACACCAGCCAGCCCUUACGUGGCGCGCAGCUGUUCCCACAGCGCAAAGCAGAAGCAGAGGCGCCAUCCAUCGCUGAAACUUUUUUGGGAAAAAAAAAUCUUCUGCAGUAGACAUGGUGUUUCAAAAAUCAGACAAAAUAUAUUUCAUGGAAAAUCUAUUUUGAGAUCGACAUUCAUUUGAAAAGCUAAAACUAGCAUCCGGAUAAAAAAAGGAAGGGAUGAAACAUCAAACUGAAAAUAUCUUUCUAUAUUGUGACAUUUUCGCAAAUGUAAAUGAGACCACCUUUAAGGCUGUCACAAGCAAAGAAAUUCAACUGGGGUCUUGAUGACUGAAGGGAUGUUAAAGAAUCUCUCAUCAACGGACCACAAAGAAUAAAGCGAAAACUAUCCGUAAUGUGCAGAUGUUAUCAGGAUGUGACUUCAGCACAACCCCACAUCCUGAUAAGGAGACAAAACUGCAGAUGUUUAAUAUAUUACAGGAACUAACCACAAAUUCUGUUUUGCUUCUCCAACUUUAUAAUGUUUAAUUUUUUUACGACGUGAAUUGCACUUUGGAAGAUCUUCCUCUCAACUUAAUUACUUUGUAAGUCUAAAUGCCCACUGCUAGGAUGAGGCGAGUUCUGGGUGGAGUGGUCCAGAGAUUCCCCCUCCCUGGGUGCGGGGCAGUGUGAAGGAUGCCUGGAGGGAUUUGUGUAAGUCCUCAUAUGCAGGCAUGAGGAGAGAGUUCUCAUUGUUGUGUGAUAGUGGAACCCUAGGUGUGAGAUAGAGACCUCGCAUUGAUUUCACAACAAACCUGCUUUAAAUCUGCUGGAGUCCUGGCAAACCAAAAGAAUUCAUAGAAACUCACAUUUGUUAAACAGAGCAGAAAAUAUUUGGAGAUGCGUAGCAAAUAGUUCUGCCCAGAUGACUUCUUCUUCUGAAGUUAAAAAUGAUAAAUGAUUUAAUAGAUUAUUUUACACUAUUUCGAAAGAAAUUAUUUGCCUCGGUGUGAAUUCUGUUUGGGGGAAUGCUGGGUAUUCUUUUUUUAUAUUCUCAAAACCAGCCAAAUGUCAAGUCAUGAAAAAGUUGUACCAAGACCUAUAUUUCUUUCAUUUUGAUUAGUUUAGAUAUAGUCAUUUUCCAGGAAAGUUAAAAAAAAAAAAAACAGUCCAUUUAUUCUGUUCAGAUGCUGUUUUUGACCCCAUCUCUAAGUGAGUGUGGGCGGUUGGGGUGGAGUAGGGCAGGUUGGUACCCUGUUCUGCCACCCACUGGCAGUUUUUCUUCUCUUCCUCAGGGAGCCAACCUUGCCCUUCAGGGCCUUUAUGCCAAACAAGCCUACAUUGUCUGGAUCAAAAGGACGGAAGAUUACAGAAUAAAAACACAGAAAAAGGAGAAAAAGUCCCAGUGCUCGGCCCAGUGUUGGGCACAUUAACACUGGCCAAUGAUGUGAGUUGAAUUAAAUCAUUGAACAAGAGAAAAGAACCCCAUUCUGGAUAUCAGACAAAGUAAAGGAUUCAAAUACGUGAAGACUUCCACACUCUCUGUCUAAAGGACCAUCUCAACUUGAUGAAGUAAAUGGGUGAAAAAGAAACUUCUUUUUACUCCAUCUGACUCUGUAUGGACUUACUAUGUGUUGGGAAGUAUCUACUUACAAAUGCGAAGUAUUUUUAGAAAAGCCUUAUAAAUCAUCAAAUUCUCGAAAAUCACCACUUACCAGGGAAGAUGACAUAACAGUUGCAUUCGAUUGCGAUCCUUCGGUAGGGGGGUGAGCAAGUUAUUAUUCAACACUAGGUCUUAAUGAAAAUUCGACACUACGUUACACUUACGGUGUUUGAAGCCGAUGUGGAAAUGUUAGAAGUUUUCUUUUGGUAAAACAUAUGCAUUGGCCUGGUGAGUGGAAAUGAGGGGCUGCUUAAAAGAUUUUUUUACCCAAAGCUUUUUGGACACAUUGCUGUAACCCUGGGAGGCUUGGUCUGAGCCCUGAACAGCAGUUGCCCAGAUGCAGAAAAAAGGCUUCAAAACCUCUCCUUUGACAAAGAGACAUGAAAUAAUAUCUGACAAAGGCAUCGCAAGCAAACAUGAUGGCAAAUCAGCAAUUAUACAGGCGACAAAGGAGAGCACAUCUCACUUCCAAAUGUCUUUUUUCUUCUUCUUCACAUUUUACUAAUAACAUCUCAGAGAGGUGCUUAGGUCAGUAUUUUUAAAAACAAUUUAAUAUAUGACCGUGCUUUGGGUUUGGUUUAACUCCUUUAUUACACUAAUGCUAUUUGUCAUUUCAUGCAUGUGUCAGCAUUGUUUUUGAAUGGCAAAAAAAGGUUGGGAAUAAACCAAGCACAAAGAAAGACACUUGCAGCUCACUAUAGGUAACUUUGUUUUAGAAAGGAAUAAAUACUCCACCAAGAUAGGCUAAACAGCACUUGCUGUCUCUUAAAUGGAGUCGUAUGUGGAAGGAAGAGGACCUACAAUGAAUCAAAUAAUAUUGGUGAAGAAAAAAUGGCAGCAAAAUUGACCAGAUCCAAACUGCAUAGCUUCACUCUUUAAUCUCAAACUCUCUUGCUCUUGAAUUUGGAAAAUAGGUAAGAGAAAGGCUUUUAAAAAGGAGUUAUAAAGUUAAAUUUAAGUAUGAAAAUAUUUACCUUUUUUAUCAAAUAACAUACCAUGAAAAAUUUACAUUUGCGAAAUUAAUUUUGAGCCCAUCGUAUAAUAAAUCAUCAUUAAAACCAUAUGUGCCCAACGAAUUCAAGCCCAGGCUUCAACCGGGAUGGAUAUGAAGGAAAACAAUAAUGAUAAUAAAAGUAAUAAUGAUAUCAAUAAUAAUAAAUGAGAUGGAACAUGUACUUCACAAAUAACUGCAAUACACAGUUCCUCAAAAUCUCUGCCUUUUUAUUGCAUAAUGAUCAAUCUGCUACUGAUCAAAGGUAUGCUGUACCUCAAAUAAGCAAAAUGCUCAUGGUGUGAAAUUAAUGACAUGAACUGUAAAUGAAAACAAAGCUACUUAGGCCUUUAAAAUUAUUUUCUUUCAUGUGGAUUCACUGCAGAAAAAUAAUGAAUUGCAGCCUCUUCUUUCCUGACAUAUUUGGGAUAGUUCACAUGACUUCGAAAUGGCUUAAAUAUUUUACCACCCACUAUAGAAUGUUCUGAAGAGGGGAAGGAAAACGUGUAUUUGUUUUGCCGGUGGUCAUUUCUUACUGUCUCAUUCAGUAUGUAGGAGUACAAAAGGUAUACUGUUAAAAGGAAAUGAAGAGCAAACUUAGUCAAAUGUAUUUGAAUGCAAGAAUAUAAGGGAUAUAUUAGAAGAUGCUUGAUAACUAGAAAUCAAUCCAUUUACCACAUGGUCUGUUAGUAUAAAGAUUCUGCAAGACCUCAGAGAAUCUCGUGUGCUAAUCAAGUUAAUUAGCUGUAGAUAAGGAUACUCUUAAAAUUAGGUCUGUAAACACCAGACUUUUAUUUUAUUUUUUUAUUAUUUAUUUAUUUUAAAAAUUUUUAUUACAUUUAUUUAUUUUUGAGAGACAGAGAGAGAGACAGCACAAG